GUAGGUGGCAAGCGUUGUCCGGAAUUAUUGGGCGUAAAGCGCGCGCAGGCGGUCCUUUAAGUCUGAUGUGAAAGCCCACGGCUCAACCGUGGAGGGUUAUUGGAAACUGGGGGACUUGAGUACAGAAGAGGAAAGCGGAAUUCCAAGUGUAGCGGUGAAAUGCGUAGAGAUUUGGAGGAACACCAGUGGCGAAGGCGGCUUUCUGGUCUGUAACUGACGCUGAGGCGCGAAAGCGUGGGGAGCAAACAGGAUUAGAUACCCUGGUAGUCCACGCCGUAAACGAUGAGUGCUAAGUGUUAGGGGGUUUCCCGCCCCCUUAGUGCUGCAGCUGACGCAUUAAGCACUCCGCCUGGGGAUACGGCCGCAAGGCUG
RNAcentral lists this ribosomal RNA (372 nucleotides) under uncultured organism. RNAcentral's name for it is "partial 16S ribosomal RNA". It matches the Rfam family "Bacterial small subunit ribosomal RNA", at positions 527 to 896 of the family's 1533-position model. The record is from RNAcentral.